Molecule: long non-coding RNA, 876 nt
Organism: Patella vulgata (common limpet)
Lineage: Eukaryota; Metazoa; Mollusca; Gastropoda; Patellidae
Exons: 5
Source: RefSeq, a predicted model, not a curated record
CAGACCACUAACCUAAAACACGAGACAACAUUCGUUCAUAAUAAUAAUGGCGAUGAUAACUAUAGGAUUUAUAUUUCUGGGUCUGGUUUUGCCCAGCUAUGGCCAGUUAUAUCAACCACGUGACAUCACCAACGCAGAAUUUCUCCAAUAUUAUAUUUCUGGUGCUGCCUUGAGUUAUCAAAUCGAUGUGAAGAAGUGUCACCCGGAGCCCAACAUAAACAACAUUACCGUGUAUUCAUUCAGUGAAGAUAUUGACCAUGGAUAUGUUACUGUUAUCAAGGACGCUCAGUGGGAGAUGAACUUCGGGGUUGAACGACAAGUGAACGGACAGAGAUUGAACUUAACAGGGCCAGCCUUUCGUUAUACGGGUUUCACUCUAGACAAUACAGGCGAGGCUUUAAUCGGCUUAAACGACGUUAAUCCAAUGAAUUAUGAAAACUUGGCUCAAGCUGAGUUGUACUGUCAUAUGGACCAGGGUGAUACGAGUGGUUUACGGAUCGUAGCAACAUCUCCACCAGGAACAGCUCUAGCAAACUUCGUACAACUACAAACCGCUUUGAAUGUUGGUUAUAGCCUUUAUUAUGCUAUUGAUAUAUAUAGAUGUAAACCUGUUGUAUCUAGUGCGGACCAUCAGUGGAUCGCUGGCAGACUUACUGGUGCCCGUUAUGCUCCUAAUGGUGAUGUCGUAUUUACUGUUCAAACAGUGGAUCUUGGUUUCACAACUAUAUUCAAUGUCAAGGUUAAACCAGACAAUUCGGUUACUGUUAAACUAUAUGUUUACAGCAAGGCAUCAAAAUCUUCUUAUGGAAACCAAGAUAAGAAUUGUACUCUGGGUACCCAAGACACUGUCAGGAUUUUUAGACAAUAAAAGAGAUA